Molecule: long non-coding RNA, 290 nt
Organism: Nilaparvata lugens (brown planthopper)
Lineage: Eukaryota; Metazoa; Arthropoda; Insecta; Hemiptera; Delphacidae
Exons: 3
Source: RefSeq, a predicted model, not a curated record
AGGCUUCGGACAGUUGGGAGGAAUAAAAACAUUGGAUUGUUGCCAUGCGGUCUAACCCAAGAUUAGAUUUAUCAUGAUAGGAAAGCUGCACUGAAUUUGUCCAACGUCCUGAAUUCGUGAUUAUGGAUCUGGAAGAACAUCAGAGGUUCACCGCUCAACAAACUGGAUAAUCGAAGACGCCAAAAAUUCCAAGAGGAUUCUUGACGGUGAUUGGAGAUAUCUGGGUGCUGGACUCCAUCGCGCCCCCCUCAGCGUCGAUCAUCGCUACUAUCGCCAUCUGCAGUGUGUCU